CGGUGGAGCAUGUGGUUUAAUUCGAAGCAACGCGAAGAACCUUACCAAAUCUUGACAUCCUUUGACCGCUCUAGAGAUAGAGUCUUCCCCUUCGGGGGACAAAGUGACAGGUGGUGCAUGGUUGUCGUCAGCUCGUGUCGUGAGAUGUUGGGUUAAGUCCCGCAACGAGCGCAACCCUUAAGCUUAGUUGCCAUCAUUAAGUUGGGCACUCUAAGUUGACUGCCGGUGACAAACCGGAGGAAGGUGGGGAUGACGUCAAAUCAUCAUGCCCCUUAUGAUUUGGGCUACACACGUGCUACAAUGGACAAUACAAAGGGCAGCUAAACCGCGAGGUCAAGCAAAUCCCAUAAAGUUGUUCUCAGUUCGGAUUGUAGUCUGCAACUCGACUACAUGAAGCUGGAAUCGCUAGUAAUCGUAGAUCAGCAUGCUACGGUGAAUACGUUCCCGGGUCUUGUACACACCGCCCGUCACACCACGAGAGUUUGUAACACCCGAAGCCGGUGGAGUAACCAUUUAUGGAGCUAGCCGUCGAAGGUGGGACAAAUGAUUGGGGUGAAGUCGUAACAAGGUAGCCGUAUCGGAAGGUGCGGCUGGAUCACCUCCUUUCUAAGGA
This 613-nucleotide ribosomal RNA is filed under the name Listeria monocytogenes. Its description in RNAcentral is "bacterial SSU rRNA". It matches the Rfam family "Bacterial small subunit ribosomal RNA", at positions 930 to 1533 of the family's 1533-position model. Lineage: Bacteria; Bacillati; Bacillota; Bacilli; Caryophanales; Listeriaceae. The record is from RNAcentral.